UUCCUCCCAGAUCUCCCUACUCACCCAACCUUGUUUUCUGUCUGUCUCCAAAAAAGUUAAAAACAGAGACAAAAGCAAAGCAAAGCAAAUCAAAAAAAUCAAAACAAAACAAAUCAAAAUGAAACAAAUAGUCCACAAAAAUACCCUUGAGUUAGUUUGCUUUGUGUUGGCCAACUACUACUGGCACGGGGCUGCACUGAGUGUGGUUGGUAUAGCCAGUGAGAUUCUAUUUUUUGGAGUUGUAUCAGUUGCAGGUAGUUUCUUGGUUACGACUGGAAGCUUGUCUUAGUUGGUCUUAAUAUUGCUGUUUUGGCUUACACUUCCAUAUUGCUGUUCAUCAUCAAAGGAAGUUAGGACAGGAACCUGGAAGCAGGAACAAAUGCAGGCAUCAUGGAGACGUGCUGUUCCUCGUAACUAUUUCAAUCUGAUUCCCUAUGGAACCCAGUACCGCCAGUCCAGUGGUGACCUCACCCACAAUAGGCUGGGCCUUCCCACAAUAGUCACUAACUAAGAAAAUGUUCUUGGAAGGGCUGGAGAGAUGACUCAGUGCUCAAGGGCACUGACUGCUCUUCCAGAGGUCCUGAGUUCAAUUCCCAGCCACAUGGUGGCUCACAACCAUCUGUCAUGGGAUCUGAUGCCAUCUUCUGGUGUGUGUAAAGAGAAUGACCUUGUACAUUGUACUCACAUAUAUAAAAUAAAUAAAUCUUUUCUUUAAAAAUGUUCUAAGCCUAUCAAGAACAGACCACAUGUUCACCUUGCCCACUCAGUGUUGACCCACUGGCUGGAACCUGUGCAGGUCUUGGGCAUGCUGCCACAGUGUCUAAGUGCUAUAUGCAUCAUCAUGCUUGGCUUCUUUGUUUUCUUCGGAGCCUGUUCCUUUGUCCAUAUAGUAUCUACUGAUAAGGCACCUUUAAUGGUAAGAGGAUCUCUACACUAAACUUUGAAAUGAGAGUGAGAAUCACCAGAGAUUAAGGUGGACACAAUGGAAUGUGGACAGCCGCCAACAGUGAUGAUAGCAGGAGGCGAGGAGGGGCUCUGUUGCCUGUGCUCACUCGCAUCUGUGGCAUAGGACGAACCGUAGGCUGCCUUUAUGAGUAACCGCCAAGCCUUAUGAGGAAAGGUUUUCAGCAAACACUGUUAUGAGACUUAGACUGUCUAGGUUUAGUUACACCUGUGAACUUGCACAGUGUAAAGUAACAUUUCGUGGACAUUUGACUACAUGUUUCUUUGCCUUUAAUAGAAUUGACCUUUGUAUACAGUUAUGUAAAUUUUAAUUUUGAUUGCAUUUAACAACGACCUCACAAAAUUCUACAAAUUUACUGUUGGUACAAGUCAGGUCUAGCAUAUUCCUAGGUACAAACAGGAAUAAAGUAAUCAAAGGAAACCAAGCACUAAGGCUCACAUAUAACCCUAGCACUCAAUAGGCAAAGGGAGAAAGAGUAUCAUUAGGAAUCCAUGGAGAACCUAGGACACAAAAAGAAACCAAUCUC
This 1490-nucleotide long non-coding RNA is filed under the name Mus musculus (house mouse). RNAcentral describes it as "long non-coding RNA chr14:99196884-99198374". Lineage: Eukaryota; Metazoa; Chordata; Mammalia; Rodentia; Muridae. The record is from RNAcentral.